GCCAAGCAUCUCCUUUCCUUUUCCCAUUUUCUCCCUCCACUAACACUACUGUAUAUCAGCUGACUAAAGCGACACUGGCAUGCCUCUUACAAUAAUUGUACUGGGGAGGCAACAACACUAUGAAACUUCAUACAAUAAUUCUAGCCAUUCUCUGUGACGUUUGGCUAGGUGAGUGGUGGCACUUGCUUGCCCACUUUCAAUGAAUAUUCUCACUUUGCAUCUCUCUUUCACACACACUCUCUCUUUUUCUCUACAAAACUUCCUAUUCCAAUUUUCUUUGAAGAUACUUUCUUUGAACAAUUAUACAGGAUAUAAGUUUUUUUUAUCCCAUUUUCUUCUUUUGCUUGCAGUU
RNAcentral lists this unclassified non-coding RNA (352 nucleotides) under Hevea brasiliensis (rubber tree). The record is from RNAcentral. Lineage: Eukaryota; Viridiplantae; Streptophyta; Magnoliopsida; Malpighiales; Euphorbiaceae.